CGGGAAGCGUGGAGCCCAGCGCGGGUCCCUGGCCGCCCGCGGGCCGGAGAGGGCGCGCGUGAAGCGCCCCUGCACAGACAUGGGCGGCGUGAACACGGAACGUGCACACAUGGAGAGGGACGUGCACUCAGACAUGUGGAGGUGCGUUCCUUAGUGCAGAGAGACGGGCACGAGCGCCCUUAGUGCACACGACCCUGAGGUCCCUGCACACCGCGCACGGGUCACUCGGGGACGUGCGCUCGGAGGCUGGCGCACGUGUAGAGCCUGACUGCGGGCACAAGGGAAGCUGGAAUGCGAACAAGCAGCCGCAAACAGGACCCAGGCACUGUCACACAGACAUGCACACACCAAACGCCUUGUUAACGCAGGACGCGUGCCAAGAACGCAUUCUCAGAGACACACAGAGGGAACACACGAUGCAGACACAGGACAUGUCCUUUUCCUGCGUGGCAAGUGGACACCUGCAAAGCCUCUUAGGACAUGCCCAAAGUGACAGCUCACACGGAGAUCCAGGGAUUGCUCCCUUUGGGAGACACCAGCCACCAUUCCAUGAGGGCACUCUUGGAGAGGUUCAAAUGGAAAGAAUCUGAGGUUUCCACUAAAAGCCAAUACUAUCUUGCCAGCCAUGUGAGUGAGUCACCUUGCAAAUGGAUCCUCCAGCCCAUCAGGUCUACAAAUAACUGAAGCCUCAAGCUGACAACCUGACUGUAAUCUCAUAAAGUCAUAA
This 727-nucleotide long non-coding RNA is filed under the name Homo sapiens (human). RNAcentral describes it as "HSALNT0250811". The record is from RNAcentral. Lineage: Eukaryota; Metazoa; Chordata; Mammalia; Primates; Hominidae.